UGCAGUCUUUAGCUGUAUUUUCUGAAAUCACUACUGUCUUUAGUCACUUAGCCUUAGCUGAACCUUCUAUUUUCACUGCUAGGUUGCAAAAUAUAUGCUCCUAAAACCUACUGCUUUAACUUCAAUAUUCUUGUUUUAAACUCCCAUCAUUGAGACCUUAACUGUGUUUGAGACGUGCUAAUCAUGUGCUUACUUGUGGGGGGUAUGUGAGCCUUUAUGUGUCCCUUUAUGUGUGUUCUUAUUUUUUAUGUAUGUCGCCUAGAAUUUUGUCCUUUAAACCUAAGGGAUCAGCCUAGACCUUACCUCGUAGGAAUAGUAGUCCUAAAUACCCUCUAGAACUAAUAGGAUGGGACGGGUAAUGUUACAACCCAUAUCCACACGCGUUAGUUCAUGCCAUACGUUAGUUAACAUAAAUCCAAGAAGGGAUUAUCCUUGAGAUGAUAAGAAGUUAAUCCCAUUGAUCUUAAGUGAUACAAGGGUGUAUAAGAGUGAUAAGCAAUUAUUAGAAGUUAAACGAAUCAAGGAUGUUGUAACUUGUAUUUUCGAGUAAACCUAUAGGUGCUUAAUACACUCAAGAGGUCAUGUUUUAAGUUAUAUGAAUCAUAUAAUAUAUGUUUCACAGUCUUGAAGUCAAACGAGUUAUGAAACAAAAGUCGACAAAAGUUGUCGCAACUUAGGUUCACGAUUUUACUUAAACUUUAAGUCAAAUGUUAUUAAGCUUUUCUCCUAAUAUACUUGAAAUUACGGUGUAAUCUACCCACAAAAUAUAAGAUCGAUGAGACUAGAUUAUAACGCAUUAAACCUUUUAUCAAUACGAUAUCGUAGUACAGAGAUAUAGGCAUUUUUGUGAGACUGCACAAGCGGCUAGGUGACAAGUAGGUGUGUCACCUACUUGGUUAAAUGAUAGCCCAAAAAAAGGAAAUUUUGGGUCGGAUAUUGAGACCAUUUAAAGGGCUAUAUCCUGAAAUAUAACCCUCAAUAUAUCUAACAAAUAAUCAGACCUAAACCCCUGCAAAUCUCCUCCCAAAAAUCCGACACAAACCCUUAUCGAUUUUCCCUCUCUUUCAAGUUCUAAUUGAGGGUAAAAUCAAGAGUUUGAAGAAUAAAGGAAAGGGAUGAGUUAUCCAACGAGUAAGGUACUUUUACUGCUCUAUCUCAUAUAUUGUUUAUGCUGUGAACUCAUGGUAAUUCGUUCAAUACAUGUAAGAACUCAUGGGACGGUGAUCGAAAGCCGUGAGUUCGAGUUAUUCACUUGUAGCUGACUGUUUUGUGUUGCUGUUGAGCUAAUUUUUUUACUAUUAUCUUGUGGAGUUUUGGAGGAGGAAGGGUGUAUAGAAACACCAUAUAUAUUUAGGGUUGUGGGCUGGCAGUUCCUUGUAAUAUUUUCGGGUCGUUUGACACGACUACGGUGGCCGUCGUAUGUAGGAAGUGAUUAAGUUGUGCAUGGACUAUUUUGGGAGGCUCAAUAUGAUUAUUAUUGAUGUUGUUUGGGCUUUUUGGUGAUUUUUUGGAAUUGUGUUACGUCAUAUAUAUAGGGGAGAUUCUGUCCGUUUCUUCGUAAAAUAGGUUGUUUGUGAUACAUAAUUGUUAUGACGCGUAAAUGAUAAUGAUAGUAUCGUUACUCUUAUUGUAGACUUUGUGACAAUUGCAUAGCUUGAUAUUGGGGAAGCAUAUAUAAGGUAUGUGAGG
Molecule: long non-coding RNA, 1689 nt
Filed under: Nicotiana benthamiana
Lineage: Eukaryota; Viridiplantae; Streptophyta; Magnoliopsida; Solanales; Solanaceae
Description: long non-coding RNA (NBEN_LNC007192)
Source: RNAcentral